UGCUUCAAUGCGGUUCGCAACAGCGGCAACUUCCACUGCUGUGACCCACUCCAAAUAUUGGAGAUGGCGGCGCAUCGAUCUCAUCCGUCCCCCUUAGAGAUCGAUCUGCGUCGAGGACGACGACGAGAGGAAGAUCCUCUCCACACUGCCGUAUCCCGAGGGGAGAAAGCACGACACCGACGAAAAUUGCCGAGGGGAACAUUGACCGGAACGGUCGUCUGGAAGACGACACC
This 233-nucleotide long non-coding RNA is filed under the name Elaeis guineensis (African oil palm). RNAcentral's name for it is "long non-coding RNA (EGUI_LNC009287)". The record is from RNAcentral. Lineage: Eukaryota; Viridiplantae; Streptophyta; Magnoliopsida; Arecales; Arecaceae.